Molecule: long non-coding RNA, 995 nt
Filed under: Cricetulus griseus (Chinese hamster)
Lineage: Eukaryota; Metazoa; Chordata; Mammalia; Rodentia; Cricetidae
Description: lncRNA (ENSCGRG00015038157.1)
Source: RNAcentral
GAAGAGGUUGUAUGGAGGACUUGCAUGCUCUGCUAAGCAGCCUGGUCUUGCUUUCCCAGGCUAGAGUGGUGAGUCUUGAUCCUUGGAGCCUGAUUAGGUACCCUGAUGCUGUGCACUUCUGAGCAUCCUUCUGCUCUAGCUCAGCAGACUAGACCUGGAUGUUUCUGCAAAGCAGCUACCUGCAGCAGUUCUUGGAAGAGCCUUUCUUGGCUGAGCCUUCUCUCCAGCCCAAAGAGUGACGUGGAAACGAAGGGGGAAAAUUCCACAAAAAUGUGCAGAGCAUAGGAAAUAUGCUGGGAACUGUUAAGGGCUUGGCCAGGGCCUCUUGCCAGACAAGCAGGCAUGAGGCUCAAGCCAGAGACAAGAGGAGCUGACUGCUGGACUUGGGACCAGAAACUGAAAUCUCAGAAAUCCACUCUGCCCCCACCAGUGGACCCUAACACACCUAGCUGUGUACACAGAACCAGAUGUAGAACUCUCAGCUACCUCGCCAGCAUCAUGUCUGCCUGUGUGCCACCAUGUUUCCUGCCAUGAUGAUUACGGACUAAACCUCUGGACGCAACCUGUCUUGUCCACUUCAAGGAACAGUUGCCCUCUGAGGUUUCCAGGAUGGCAGCUAACCAGAUGCUUCUCCACCCACACCUUCUGCUGAGCAUGAAUGAACCCACCAACUCCUGACUCUCCUUUCCCCUACAUUGUCCCUUGUCAGCAGGAAGGAGCCAGACAUGAACCAGCAUCCAUAGACCCAAAGAGUCUGGGAUGUUAUGGUGGAAGCUUCACCCAAGCCUCCCUCCCCUAUCUCCCUCCAAACCCUGCUGCAUCUCAGAAAGCCCACCAAAUGAUGACCCCUUCCCCAGAGAUGCUCAAGACCACUCCCACAGGGUAUUUAAACUGCUCCCAGAGAACAGACUCUUGAUUUUUCAGGUCUCCCUUUCUUGUCUCCUCUCUGGGGGGUCGGAAGACCAUCUGGGAGCAAUGUAUCUAUUAAAUGUCGG